This 890-nucleotide ribosomal RNA is filed under the name uncultured bacterium. RNAcentral's name for it is "bacterial SSU rRNA". It matches the Rfam family "Bacterial small subunit ribosomal RNA", at positions 615 to 1501 of the family's 1533-position model. The record is from RNAcentral.
GUGGAGGGUCAUUGGAAACUGGAGGACUUGAGUGCAGAAGAGGAGAGUGGAAUUCCACGUGUAGCGGUGAAAUGCGUAGAGAUGUGGAGGAACACCAGUGGCGAAGGCGACUCUCUGGUCUGUAACUGACGCUGAGGCGCGAAAGCGUGGGUAGCGAACAGGAUUAGAUACCCUGGUAGUCCACGCCGUAAACGAUGAGUGCUAAGUGUUAGAGGGUUUCCGCCCUUUAGUGCUGCAGUUAACGCAUUAAGCACUCCGCCUGGGGAGUACGGCCGCAAGGCUGAAACUCAAAGGAAUUGACGGGGGCCCGCACAAGCGGUGGAGCAUGUGGUUUAAUUCGAAGCAACGCGAAGAACCUUACCAGGUCUUGACAUCCCGCUGACCGGUAUAGAGAUAUACCUUUCCCUUCGGGGACAGCGGUGACAGGUGGUGCAUGGUUGUCGUCAGCUCGUGUCGUGAGAUGUUGGGUUAAGUCCCGCAACGAGCGCAACCCUUAAUCUUAGUUGCCAGCAUUCAGUUGGGCACUCUAAGGUGACUGCCGGUGACAAACCGGAGGAAGGUGGGGAUGACGUCAAAUCAUCAUGCCCCUUAUGACCUGGGCUACACACGUGCUACAAUGGAUGGUACAAAGGGUCGCAAAACCGCGAGGUCAAGCUAAUCCCAUAAAACCAUUCUCAGUUCGGAUUGCAGGCUGCAACUCGCCUGCAUGAAGCCGGAAUCGCUAGUAAUCGUAGAUCAGAAUGCUACGGUGAAUACGUUCCCGGGCCUUGUACACACCGCCCGUCACACCACGAGAGUUUGUAACACCCGAAGUCGGUGGGGUAACCCUUACGGGAGCCAGCCGCCGAAGGUGGGACAGAUGAUUGGGGUGAAGUCGUAACAAGGUAACC